This 455-nucleotide ribosomal RNA is filed under the name uncultured bacterium. RNAcentral describes it as "bacterial SSU rRNA". It matches the Rfam family "Bacterial small subunit ribosomal RNA", at positions 340 to 786 of the family's 1533-position model. The record is from RNAcentral.
UACGGAAGGCAGCAGUGGGGAAUAUUGCACAAUGGGCGCAAGCCUGAUGCAGCCAUGCCGCGUGUAUGAAAAAGGCCUUCGGGUUGUAAAGUACUUUCAGUCGUGAGGAAGGUGUUAAGGUUAAUAACCUUAGCAAUUGACGUUAGCGACAGAAGAAGCACCGGCUAACUCCGUGCCAGCAGCCGCGGUAAUACGGAGGGUGCGAGCGUUAAUCGGAAUUACUGGGCGUAAAGGGCACGCAGGCGGUUAAUUAAGUUGGAUGUGAAAUCCCCGGGCUUAACCUGGGAAUGGCAUUCAAGACUGGUUAGCUAGAGUCUUGUAGAGGGGGUAGAAUUCCAUGUGUAGCGGUGAAAUGCGUAGAGAUGUGGAGGAAUACCGGUGGCGAAGGCGGCCCCUGGGACAAAGACUGACGCUCAUGUGCGAAAGCGUGGGGAGCAAACGAGGGAUUAGAUACC